UGAUCAUGGCUCAGAUUGAACGCUGGCGGCAGGCCUAACACAUGCAAGUCGAGCGGUAACACAAGGGAGCUUGCUCCUGAGGUGACGAGCGGCGGACGGGUGAGUAAUGCCUAGGGAUCUGCCCAGUCGAGGGGGAUAACAGUUGGAAACGACUGCUAAUACCGCAUACGCCCUACGGGGGAAAGGAGGGGACCUUCGGGCCUUCCGCGAUUGGAUGAACCUAGGUGGGAUUAGCUAGUUGGUGAGGUAAUGGCUCACCAAGGCGACGAUCCCUAGCUGUUCUGAGAGGAUGAUCAGCCACACUGGGACUGAGACACGGCCCAGACUCCUACGGGAGGCAGCAGUGGGGAAUAUUGCACAAUGGGGGAAACCCUGAUGCAGCCAUGCCGCGUGUGUGAAGAAGGCCUUCGGGUUGUAAAGCACUUUCAGUAGGGAGGAAAGGUAAUAGUUUAAUAAACUAUUACUGUGACGUUACCUACAGAAGAAGGACCGGCUAACUCCGUGCC
RNAcentral lists this ribosomal RNA (506 nucleotides) under Shewanella frigidimarina. RNAcentral describes it as "bacterial SSU rRNA". It matches the Rfam family "Bacterial small subunit ribosomal RNA", at positions 14 to 509 of the family's 1533-position model. The record is from RNAcentral. Lineage: Bacteria; Pseudomonadati; Pseudomonadota; Gammaproteobacteria; Alteromonadales; Shewanellaceae.